RNAcentral lists this ribosomal RNA (700 nucleotides) under uncultured Rhodospirillaceae bacterium. RNAcentral describes it as "bacterial SSU rRNA". It matches the Rfam family "Bacterial small subunit ribosomal RNA", at positions 28 to 774 of the family's 1533-position model. Lineage: Bacteria; Pseudomonadati; Pseudomonadota; Alphaproteobacteria; Rhodospirillales; Rhodospirillaceae. RNAcentral also lists the same sequence under 1 other name. The record is from RNAcentral.
AACGAACGCUGGCGGCAUGCUUAACACAUGCAAGUCGAACGAUCCCUUCGGGGAUAGUGGCGGACGGGUGAGUAACGCGUGGGAACCUGCCCCGAGGUACGGAAUAACUCAUGGAAACGUGAGCUAAUACCGUAUGUGACCUGAGGGUGAAAGAUUUAUCGCCUUGGGAGGGGCCCGCGUCGGAUUAGGUAGUUGGUGGGGUAACGGCCUACCAAGCCUGCGAUCCGUAGCUGGUCUGAGAGGAUGAUCAGCCACACUGGAACUUAGACACGGUCCAGACUCCUACGGGAGGCAGCAGUGGGGAAUAUUGGACAAUGGGGGCAACCCUGAUCCAGCAAUGCCGCGUGCGUGAUGAAGGCCUUAGGGUUGUAAAGCGCUUUCGGCGGGGAAGAUGAUGACGGUACCCGCAGAAGAAGCCCCGGCUAACUCCGUGCCAGCAGCCGCGGUAAUACGGAGGGGGCUAGCGUUGUUCGGAAUUACUGGGCGUAAAGGGCGCGUAGGCGGCGAUUUAAGUUAGGCGUGAAAGCCCCGGGCUUAACCUGGGAACUGCGCUUGAUACUGGAUUGCUUGAGGACGGGAGAGGGUAGUGGAAUUCCCAGUGUAGAGGUGAAAUUCGUAGAUAUUGGGAAGAACACCAGUGGCGAAGGCGACUGCCUGGCCCGUUACUGACGCUGAGGCGCGAAAGCGUGGGGAGCAAACA